RNAcentral lists this ribosomal RNA (791 nucleotides) under uncultured bacterium. RNAcentral's name for it is "bacterial SSU rRNA". It matches the Rfam family "Bacterial small subunit ribosomal RNA", at positions 73 to 876 of the family's 1533-position model. The record is from RNAcentral.
GAGGAGCUUGCUCCUCUGAUCAGUGGCGAACGGGUGAGUAACACGUGAGCAACCUGCCCCAGACUCUGGGAUAACAGUUGGAAACAGCUGCUAAUACCGGAUACGAGACGGAGAGGCAUCUCUACCGUCUGGAAAGUUUUUCGGUCUGGGAUGGACUCGCGGCCUAUCAGCUAGUUGGUGAGGUAAUGGCUCACCAAGGCGACGACGGGUAGCCGGCCUGAGAGGGCGACCGGCCACACUGGGACUGAGACACGGCCCAGACUCCUACGGGAGGCAGCAGUGGGGAAUAUUGCACAAUGGGCGAAAGCCUGAUGCAGCGACGCCGCGUGAGGGAUGACGGCCUUCGGGUUGUAAACCUCUUUCAGCAGGGAAGAAGCGAAAGUGACGGUACCUGCAGAAGAAGCACCGGCUAACUACGUGCCAGCAGCCGCGGUAAUACGUAGGGUGCGAGCGUUGUCCGGAAUUAUUGGGCGUAAAGAGCUUGUAGGCGGUUUGUCGCGUCUGCAGUGAAAAUCCGAGGCUCAACCUCGGACUUGCUGUGGGUACGGGCAGACUAGAGUAUGGUAGGGGAGACCGGAAUUCCUGGUGUAGCGGUGGAAUGCGCAGAUAUCAGGAGGAACACCGAUGGCGAAGGCAGGUCUCUGGGCCAUAACUGACGCUGAGAAGCGAAAGCAUGGGGAGCGAACAGGAUUAGAUACCCUGGUAGUCCAUGCCGUAAACGUUGGGCGCUAGGUGUGGGGCUCAUUCCACGAGCUCCGUGCCGCAGCUAACGCAUUAAGCGCCCCGCCUGG